CUACGGGGGGCAGCAGUGGGGAAUAUUGCACAAUGGGCGAAAGCCUGAUGCAGCGAUGCCGCGUGAGGGAAGAAGGUCUUCGGAUUGUAAACCUCUGUUUUCAGGGACGAUAAUGACGGUACCUGAGGAGGAAGCUCCGGCUAACUACGUGCCAGCAGCCGCGGUAAUACGUAGGGAGCGAGCGUUGUCCGGAAUUACUGGGUGUAAAGGGAGUGUAGGCGGGAAAACAAGUCAGAUGUGAAAACUAUGGGCUCAACCUGUAGACUGCAUUUGAAACUGUUUUUCUUGAGUGAAGUAGAGGUAAGCGGAAUUCCUAGUGUAGCGGUGAAAUGCGUAGAUAUUAGGAGGAACAUCAGUGGCGAAGGCGGCUUACUGGGCUUUUACUGACGCUGAGGCUCGAAAGCGUGGGGAGCAAACAGGAUUAGAUACCCGUGUAGUC
This 439-nucleotide ribosomal RNA is filed under the name uncultured bacterium. RNAcentral describes it as "partial 16S ribosomal RNA". It matches the Rfam family "Bacterial small subunit ribosomal RNA", at positions 339 to 795 of the family's 1533-position model. The record is from RNAcentral.